RNAcentral lists this ribosomal RNA (254 nucleotides) under uncultured bacterium. RNAcentral describes it as "partial 16S ribosomal RNA". It matches the Rfam family "Bacterial small subunit ribosomal RNA", at positions 524 to 776 of the family's 1533-position model. The record is from RNAcentral.
CACGGGGGGAGCAAGCGUUGUUCGGAAUCACUGGGCGUAAAGGGCGCGUAGGCGGCCACCGCAAGUCAGUUGUGAAAUCUCUGGGCUUAACCCAGAAAGGUCAACUGAUACUGCGGGGCUAGAGUGCAGAAGGGGCAACUGGAAUUCUCGGUGUAGCGGUGAAAUGCGUAGAUAUCGAGAGGAACACCUGCGGCGAAGGCGGGUUGCUGGGCUGACACUGACGCUGAUGCGCGAAAGCUAGGGGAGCGAACGGG